Long non-coding RNA from Oncorhynchus tshawytscha (Chinook salmon), 3034 nucleotides. The record is from Ensembl. NCBI's taxonomy places the organism in Eukaryota, Metazoa, Chordata, Actinopteri, Salmoniformes, Salmonidae.
GAAAGGGUUCCAAAAGGGUUCUUAGGCUGUAACCAUUGGAGAACCCGUUUUGGUUCGAGGUAGAACCUUUUGGGUUCCAGGUAGAACCCCUUGGGUUCCAUGUAGGACUCUCUGUGGAAAGGGUUCUACAUGGAAUCCAAAAGGAUUCUACCUGGAACCAAAAAGGAUUCUUCAAUGGGUUCUGCUAUGGGGACAGUCAAAUGACCCUUUUAGAUUCUAGAUUGCACCUUUUUUUCUAAGACUGUAGUGGUGGUGGUAACUAAUAAUAAUUCAAUUACCCUCAUUAGUGAACGUUCUAGAACAAGUGGAUUCCAACCCACAUAAUACACACAUGUCACUUUUACUCUUCACCCAAACACGGCAAACUUUGACCUCUAAGCCUCUCUGACCAUUGACCCUUCUCUGCCAUGAAACCUGUCUUGAAUUCCACUGAGGGGUUGACUAAGCCUGUAUCCUCCCCUUAGAAGGUAGAGUACCACAGACCUACACUCAGGUCUGUAGCACUGGCUGUCUGAUGGGUGUCUGAUUAAUGUUGGUGAAUCUGCAGCCACCCCUAUAUUCCUCCCCCAGCCCUCAUCCUACACCACCAUACUUCAAGAGGAUAUGUUUACAAACAGUGGGGUAGAGAUACACCAUGUUUAAAAGCAGGUGCCUGGUUAUCUCUGCCUUCAUAUAGCUUCAAAGAGACCCAAAAGGGGCUCAGAGGUGGGACUGUGCCUUAGAUGGUUGGACACAUCACGGGCCUUGGUAUUGCCAAUAAGGAGGAGGGUGCAUAGCACAGUACACCAUACGCAGCUGUAUUAUCUGAGGUGCAUAUUCUGAAAACAAAUUCAAACGUAAAACUGUUAAACACAGAAUACCAGUGGGAAGGAAUUAUACCUUCAUGGUUAAAUUAGCCAUUUCAAAAGCACUAAUGUAAGCUUCCUGCACUGUCAUGUCCCUUUUUUUAUUUUAUGUUUUACCAUUGCACACUUCUUUCCAAUCUCCCCCCCAAAAAGAAUGGGGCUUUGAGUAUUUUUUUCUCCAAAAAAAAGCAUUCCUGUGAAGAUUAAAAUGGAAGGUCCCAGGUGGCGGGUCCCCUGAACCAGCCCUCUAACAGCCUGAGUGACUCCUCAACAGACCCUCUACUACUUUGGCAUCAGCUGCUGAGCGGCAGUAGUAGUGGUAGUGGUAGUGGUAGUGGUAGAGGUAGUGGUAGUGGUAGUGGUAGUGGUAGAGGUAGUGGUAGUGGUAGAGGUAGUGGUAGUGGUAGAGGUAGUGGUAGUGGUAGAGGUCGUGGUAGUGGUGGAGGUAGUGGUAGUGGUAGUGGUAGAGGUAGUGGCAGAGGCAGUGGUAGCGGUAGAGGCAGUGGUAGUGGUAGUGGUAGUGGUAGAGGCAGUGGUAGUUGUAGUGGUAGAGGUAGUGAUAGUGGUAGUGAUAGUAGUAGUGAUAGUGGUAGUGGUAGUGGUAGUGGUAGUGAUUGUGGUAGUGGUAGUAGUGGUAGUGGUAGUGGUAGAGGUAGUGGUAGUGGUAGUGAUUGUGGUAGUGGUAGUGGUAGUAGUGAUAGUGGUAGUGGUAGUGGUAGUGGUAGUAGCUGUACACAUAGCAGGCAGGCUAGGUGCUCUCUGGCUCUGUAGGCUUCGAUCUCUCUACAGGUUACUCAGACUGAUAAUGCAGAGCCUCAGCUGCUCCUGGCCAGAAAGAGAUGCCAUUUACACAGCCAUUUUCUCUGUCUCAGUGUACACACACACAGUGUACACACACACACACACACACACACACACACACACACACACACACACACACACACACACACACACACACACACACACACACACACACCGAGGUGUCAUGCCCAUAGGGGGUAUCAUGCCCGCUCAGAUGUAUCCUGUUUAAAAUAUAUUUAUUAAAAAUAUAUAUACAGUACCAGUCAAUAGUUUGGACACACCUACUCAUUCAAGGGUUUUUCUUUAUUUAAAAAAAACUGUUUAAUAAUAGAAAACAUCAUAACUAUGAAAUAAUACAUAUGGAAUCAUGUGGUAACCAAAAAAAGUGUUAAACAAAUCAAAAUAUAUUUUAUAUUUUAUAUUCUUCAAUGUAGCCACCCUUUGCCUUGAUGACAGCUUUGCACACUCUUGGCAUUCUCUCAACCACCUUCACCAGGAAUGCGUUUACUUUUCCUUCACUCUGUGGUCCAACUCAUCCCAAACCAUGUCAAUUGGGUUGAGGUCAGGUGAUUGUGGAGGCCAGGUCAUCUGCAACACGCCAUCCCUCUCCUUCUUGGUCAAAUAACCCUUACACAGCCUAGAGGUGUGUUGGAUCAUUGUCCUGUUGAAAAACAAAUGAUAGUCCCACUAAGAGCAAAACAGAUGGGAUGGCGUAUCGCUGCAGAAUGCUGGGUAGCAAUGCUGGUUAAGUGUGCCUUGAAUUCUAAAUAAAUCACAGACAGUGUCACCAGCAAACCACCCACAUGCCAUCACACCUCCUCCUCCAUGCUUCACGGUGGGAACCACACAUGCAGAGAUAAUCCGUUCACCUACUCUGCGUCUCAGAAAGACACGCAGUUGGAACCAAAAUUCUCCAAUUUGUACUCAACAGACCAAAUGACAGAUUUCCAUUGCUCAUGUUUCUUGGCCCAGCAAGUCUCUUCUUCUUAUUGGUGUCCUUUAGUAGUGUUUUCUUUGCAGCAAUUCAACCAUUAAGGCCUGAUUCACUCAGUCUCCUCUGAACAGUUGAUGUUGAUGUCUGUUACUUGAACUCUGUCAAGCAUUUAUUUGGGCUGCAAUUUCUGAGUCUGGUAACUCUAAUGAACUUACCUUCUGCAGCAGAGGUAACUCUGGGUCUUCCUUUUCUGUGGCGGUCCUCAUGAGAGCCAGUUCCAUAAUAGCGCUGGAUGGUUUUUGCGACUGCAUUUGAAGAAACUCUUAAUUAAAGCUCUUGAAACUUUUGACUGGUACUGUGUAUAUAUUUUUUGUUAUUGUUGUUUCUCUGCAAUACUACUAGCCACCUAGACAUUUUAUGAAGAUGGCUUUAACUAGCCCAGAUAGUUAUGAGG